Molecule: long non-coding RNA, 392 nt
Organism: Fukomys damarensis (Damara mole-rat)
Lineage: Eukaryota; Metazoa; Chordata; Mammalia; Rodentia; Bathyergidae
Exons: 3
Source: RefSeq, a predicted model, not a curated record
UAAUACCAAACUUGCACAAUGCAUAUCAUCUGAAUUAUAUGAAUGUGAGCUAUUUUAAGAAGCAAAGUUACUUAGUGCAUGUGCCUGUUUGAAUAAAUCACUUUAUAAUCCUUCUUUUGAUGGAAUUACAACUGCCAGAAAUGUUCGGACAAAAAAGACUAUUAUUGGAGGCUGAUUAGACUUCCAUCCACUUGCCCAAGAUGAAGAGAACAAGGUAGAAGGGCAAUGCACGUUGAACAAGAUUUCAGAGCUGGUGCUGAAGCCUGACAAGCUGCCUUCAAAGGCUGUACUCUCAGCCCCUCUUCCAUAACCGCAUCUCAAAAAUACUUGGUUAUUGCCUUCACACUGACACAGUUCUUCUACUGGCUUAUGAAUUAUUUGAAAGAUAGAGU